GAUGAACGCUGACAGAAUGCUUAACACAUGCAAGUCUACUUGAACUUCGGUUUGGGUGGCGGACGGGUGAGUAACGCGUAAAGAACUUGCCUCACAGUUAGGGACAACAUUUGGAAACGAAUGCUAAUACCUGAUAUUAUGAUUUUAGGGCAUCCUAAGAUUAUGAAAGCUAUAUGCGCUGUGAGAGAGCUUUGCGUCCCAUUAGCUAGUUGGAGAGGUAACGGCUCACCAAGGCGAUGAUGGGUAGCCGGCCUGAGAGGGUGAACGGCCACAUGGGGACUGAGACACGGCCCUUACUCCUACGGGAGGCAGCAGUGGGGAAUAUUGGACAAUGGACCAAAAGUCUGAUCCAGCAAUUCUGUGUGCACGAUGACGUUUUUCGGAAUGUAAAGUGCUUUCAGUUGUGAAGAAAAAAAAUUACGGUACCAACAGAAGAAGUUGACGGCUAAAUUGGUGGGCGGCAUCCGCGGUAAUACGGUGUGUCAGAAGCGUUAUGGGGAUUUAUUGGGCGUUUGGCGUGGUCUGUGUGGUUGUGGUGGUCUGUGUGAAAAAUGGGGGCUUACUUUGGUUGGUGUGGGAUUGGUGGGAUAUGAUGGUGGGAAAGGUGUGUGGUAAAUGCUGUGUGUAGAUGUUAUGUUGUGAUAUAUUUGUCGUGUCCCUCUUGCCUACCCCCCUCCAUAAUUGAUGUUGUUGUUGUUGUGUGUUGUGUGUGUGAGUGUGUGAUGUGUGUUUGGUGAUGAAGUGGUGAUGUUGUUUUGUGUGUGUGGUUGGGUGUGCAGUGUGUGUGUGUAAACGUAAACGAUAGUGAGAUUGUGUGUGUGUUGGUGUUUUUUGUGUUUUGUGUCGUGGUGA
This 852-nucleotide ribosomal RNA is filed under the name uncultured Gemella sp. Its description in RNAcentral is "bacterial SSU rRNA". The stretch from base 2 to 495 matches the Rfam family "Bacterial small subunit ribosomal RNA", at positions 29 to 544 of the family's 1533-position model. Lineage: Bacteria; Bacillati; Bacillota; Bacilli; Caryophanales; Gemellaceae. The record is from RNAcentral.